AACGAACGCUGGCGGCAUGCCUAACACAUGCAAGUCGAACGAGACCUUCGGGUCUUGUGGCGCUCGUGUGCGUAACACGUGGGAACCUGCCCUUAGGUUCGGUAUAACUCCCCGAAAGGGGUGCUAAUAAAGGAUAAUGUCUUCGGACCAAAGAUUUAUCGCCUUUGGAUGGGCCCGCGUUGGUUUCGCUAGUUGGUAGGGUAAUAGCCUGCCAAGGCCACGAUGCAUAGCUGGUCGGGUAGGAGGAUCAGCCACACUGGAGCUGCGACACGGCCCAGACUGCGACGGGGGGGAGCAGUAGAUAAUAUUGGAGGAGGAGGGAAAGUCUGACACAGCAACGCCGGGUGUGUGAUGAAGGGCUUAGGGUUGUGAAUCUCUUUUACCCGGGACGUGAAUGACGGUACCGGGUGAAUAAGCACCGGCUAACUACGUG
Molecule: ribosomal RNA, 433 nt
Filed under: uncultured bacterium
Lineage: Bacteria
Description: partial 16S ribosomal RNA
Rfam family: Bacterial small subunit ribosomal RNA
Source: RNAcentral